GGCGGACGGGUGAGUAACACGUGGAUAACCUACCUAUAAGACUGGGAUAACUUCGGGAAACCGGAGCUAAUACCGGAUAAUAUAUUGAACCGCAUGGUUCAAUAGUGAAAGACGGUUUUGCUGUCACUUAUAGAUGGAUCCGCGCCGUAUUAGCUAGUUGGUAAGGUAACGGCUUACCAAGGCGACGAUGCGUAGCCGACCUGAGAGGGUGAUCGGCCACACUGGAACUGAGACACAGUCCAG
Molecule: ribosomal RNA, 243 nt
Filed under: uncultured Staphylococcus sp.
Lineage: Bacteria; Bacillati; Bacillota; Bacilli; Caryophanales; Staphylococcaceae
Description: partial 16S ribosomal RNA
Rfam family: Bacterial small subunit ribosomal RNA
Source: RNAcentral